RNAcentral lists this ribosomal RNA (253 nucleotides) under uncultured bacterium. RNAcentral describes it as "partial 16S ribosomal RNA". It matches the Rfam family "Bacterial small subunit ribosomal RNA", at positions 524 to 776 of the family's 1533-position model. The record is from RNAcentral.
UACAGAGGUCCCAAGCGUUGUUCGGAUUCACUGGGCGUAAAGGGUGCGUAGGUGGCAUGGUAAGUUUGAUGUGAAAUCUCCGGGCUUAACCCGGAAAUGGCAUUGAAUACUACUGUGCUGGAGGUUUGGAGGGGGGACUGGAAUUCUCGGUGUAGCAGUGAAAUGCGUAGAUAUCGUGAGGAAGACCAGUGGCGAAGGCGGAUCUCUGGACAGUUCCUGACGCUGAGGCGCGAAGGCCAGGGGAGCAAACGGG